CCCAUUCUAUCUGCAAAGCUGACCCUGUGAUUGUGUCCUAACAGCAGUACAGUGCUGGUCAGGAGAGAUGAAAAAUCAACACCAACAAAAUACCUCAUCUUAUUCCCAUCCUGAAAUGACUCUUCUACAGUGGCUUCUGUAUCAGGACACAGAUUCUGCCUUCCAUCAGUCUAAGGUCCAGACCUCUUCACAGCACUUGGCUUAUGGUCCAGAUUUCAAGUGCCAGUUACCCAGAAACACUAAGCAUAUGUAAGUGAUCAAUCCUGAAUUUGCACAUUACAGUAAGGACCAGCACUGUCCAGCCUGCAGAAUACCAAAGAGCAGUAGAAGAAAAUGAGAGCUUAUUUACUUGAACUUGACAGCCUAAUAAAGCAAAGCACGUGAGGAAAAACAGCUCUAUAAUUGCAUGAAGUUAGACAGUAAAUUAGCUGUACCCAGCAGAAGAAAGCAUCUCAGACUAUUGGAUUUCAGCAUAUGGCAAAAAGGCAAGUAAAAUAGUAGGCAUUAUUAGGGAUGCAAAUAGAAGAGGAG
Molecule: long non-coding RNA, 531 nt
Filed under: Gallus gallus (chicken)
Lineage: Eukaryota; Metazoa; Chordata; Aves; Galliformes; Phasianidae
Description: lncRNA (ENSGALG00010011302.1)
Source: RNAcentral